CUUAAAGGAAUUGACGGAAGGGCACCACCAGAUGUAAACCGUAGUUAACUCUGCAUCUGAAAGCCGUCUCGGGAGUAGCAUCCUGAAGGUUGAAUCUGGCCCUGUUCGCAAUGGCUAGUCCAAGCUUUUUCAGCUGGGCAACACCCUCAAAUUGCGGGAAACUCCUAAAGCUGCUGAACACCAAACCUGACCGGUAACGGUUGGGUGGCCGCCCUGAAAGGGUGCGGGUAUGGUAACAGAGUCAGCAGAUUGCUCGCCAGCGGGCCAGCAAAUGGACGAUCCGCAGCCAAGCGACCGGUUCAAACCCAACCGGUUGAAGGUUCAGAGACUAGAUGGGGGUGGGUUUUCAAAAACUUGAAGGCUUAAGGUAUAGUCCAGCCGUUCCAGCGAAAGCAAACGGGUCAGGCAAUGGGAGCCUGCGGCUUAAUUUGACUCAACACGGGGAAACUCACCAGGUCCAGACACAUUAAGGAUUGACAGAUUGAGAGCUCUUUCUUGAUUAUGUGGGUGGUGGUGCAUGGCCGUUCUUAGUUGGUGGAGUGAUUUGUCUGCUUAAUUGCGAUAACGAACGAGACCUUAACCUGCUAAAUAGCCAGGCUAGCUUUUGCUGGUCGCCGGCUUCUUAGAGGGACUAUCGGCUCAAGCCGAUGGAAGUUUGAGGCAAUAACAGGUCUGUGAUGCCCUUAGAUGUUCUGGGCCGCACGCGCGCUACACUGACAGAGCCAACGAGUAUAAACCUUAACCGAGAGGUUUGGGUAAUCUUGUUAAACUCUGUCGUGCUGGGGAUAGAGCAUUGCAAUUAUUGCUCUUCAACGAGGAAUAUCUAGUAAGCGCAAGUCAUCAGCUUGCGUUGAUUACGUCCCUGCCCUUUGUACACACCGCCCGUCGCUACUACCGAUUGAAUGGCUCAGUGAGGCCUUCGGACUGACUCAGGGAGGUCGGCAACGACCACCCAGAGCCGGAAAGUUGGUCAAACUUGGUCAUUUAGAGGAAGUAAAAGUCGUAACAAGGUUUGAAGUAAGAAAUCCUUCCUUUGGGUGACGCUUAUGAGAAGCCUUUGUGGCCCCGCAAGGGGUAUCCGCCGCGACUAUAAAGAAUGGGAAGCGGGUAUUAAAUCGCAAGUCGGCAGCCAGCUGUGCUGCUGGCCACACUUUCGAAUUGCGGGAACACCCUAAAGCACGCCUCUACCAACCGGCUUGAAGAAAUUCACCUGGGGCCAAUGAUAACGACAUUGGGUAAGGUAAGAAUGAGGUUUGAUGAGAACCGCUAUGGUUUGAAAUGGGCAAUCCGCAGCCAACCCCUAAGGCGAGUCCUGCUAUGGGAGAGGUUCACAGACUAAGUGGAAGUGGGCUGGAUUUCCAGCUUAAGAUAUAGUCGGGCCUGGCGCGAAAGCGCCCGGGAAAGGUCACAGAAAUCGUAACAAAACCGUUCCGUAGGUGAACCUGCGGAAGGAUCAUUA
RNAcentral lists this ribosomal RNA (1459 nucleotides) under Dactylella cylindrospora. RNAcentral describes it as "bacterial SSU rRNA". The stretch from base 1 to 1031 matches the Rfam family "Eukaryotic small subunit ribosomal RNA", at positions 1143 to 1831 of the family's 1831-position model. Lineage: Eukaryota; Fungi; Ascomycota; Orbiliomycetes; Orbiliales; Orbiliaceae. The record is from RNAcentral.